GAGCUUUGAUACCAAUUGUUGAGAAAUCAGACUCACACAAAUGUACUAAGAUAAAUACAAACACACUACUGAUAUAAAAUAAUUAUAACACCAGAAAUUUACGUCACGGGGAGAGAUCUCAGAAAUUCAUUAUGAAAAUAAUAUGGAGAUUACAAACUCUCUACUGAGAAAUAAACUAACUGUUUAUUUCUCUCUACACCCUCACUUUCUGAAUGCUCUAACUGAGCUUUUCACUCUCUAACUCUCUCUUUUGAUUUGCUAAGCUUGUUGUUGUAGUGUGUUGAAAUGAGGAGCCCAAGCUCCCUUUUAUAGGAGAAAUCUGGAGAGGAGAAUAAGAAAUGGGGAAGGCCAAAAUAAAAGGGCAGUGACUUUGGAAAAAAAUGAAGGCCAAAUUUAAUGGGUGAAGACUUUGACCAACAGGGUAUAAUUCCUGGACUUAUCCUGUAUUCACAUACUUGGCACCCAAAAAUAUUACAAGUACACCUUACGAAAAGCUCAUAACAACCCUAAUGUGGUGAUCAUUACGUACAUCUACUAUCUUAUCUGUGCAGGCAAAAUUAUGUAAAUCUAAAUAAUGCUUUAAAUGUUCUGCUGAUGAUGAAUCUAUACUGCGAUGAGUUUGGCUUUUUUCCAAAUGCUUGUGUCGAUGUACAGUUUAUCUGUUAGCCAUUGAUGCUUUAAAUUUUUUGCCUCUUUGUGUAGUUGAUUUGGUUAAAUUCCUAUGAUUUUUCUCUCCUAAGUUUUUGCAAAACUGUUUGUCUGAACUCAUUGUCUUGAUAUGGUAUGUUUAUGGAAUUGAGUGCUAUAGAUUGAAGAAGGAAUUAGUGAAAGGG
Molecule: long non-coding RNA, 833 nt
Filed under: Panax ginseng (ginseng)
Lineage: Eukaryota; Viridiplantae; Streptophyta; Magnoliopsida; Apiales; Araliaceae
Description: long non-coding RNA (PGIN_LNC010255)
Source: RNAcentral